GUGAAUCAUCAAAUUUUUGAACGCAAAUUGCACUCUCCUCGGAGAGUAUGCCUGUUUGAGGGUCAGCCUAUAAAAAUUGAAAUCGUUGCUGUUUCGCGGUGGCGUUCGUCGGAAAUUGGGUCAUUUUAAAUCCCUUUGAUUUAAGAGCUUUAAAAUUUUAUUUUGGUUCCAUGACCGUUGCUACGAACUAUUUCUUUCUACGUU
RNAcentral lists this unclassified non-coding RNA (204 nucleotides) under Glomus sp. RNAcentral's name for it is "partial contains 5.8S ribosomal RNA and internal transcribed spacer 2". The stretch from base 1 to 65 matches the Rfam family "5.8S ribosomal RNA", at positions 84 to 154 of the family's 154-position model. The record is from RNAcentral. Lineage: Eukaryota; Fungi; Glomeromycota; Glomeromycetes; Glomerales; Glomeraceae.